GACGUAGGGGGCCAGCGUUGUUCGGAAUUACUGGGUGUAAAGGGUUCGUAGGCGGUGCGGCAAGUCGGGAGUGAAAUCUCUGGGCUUAACCCAGAGGCUGCUUCCGAAACUGCUGUGCUUGAGUGUGGGAGAGGCGCGUGGAAUUGCAGGUGUAGCGGUGAAAUGCGUAGAUAUCUGCAGGAACACCCGUGGCGAAAGCGGCGCGCUGGACCACUACUGACGCUGAGACGCGAAAGCGUGGGGAGCGAACAGG
Molecule: ribosomal RNA, 253 nt
Filed under: uncultured bacterium
Lineage: Bacteria
Description: partial 16S ribosomal RNA
Rfam family: Bacterial small subunit ribosomal RNA
Source: RNAcentral